CCGAAAUAUGUAAAUAACGAACCAGAGAAACGGGUGGAGGAAUAGUUUGCUAUUUAGAUACCGUUUUUGUUGUUUUCAUUCGUCUUUUUUUUCUAUUGCUUUUCUCAUUACUCUU
This 115-nucleotide non-coding RNA is filed under the name Foraminifera environmental sample. Lineage: Eukaryota; Foraminifera. The record is from RNAcentral.